GGGGUGUAGCUCAGUUGGGAGAGCGCCUGCCUUGCAAGCAGGAGGUCAGGAGUUCGACUCUCCUCAUCUCC
Molecule: transfer RNA, 71 nt
Filed under: Lagierella massiliensis
Lineage: Bacteria; Bacillati; Bacillota; Tissierellia; Tissierellales; Peptoniphilaceae
Rfam family: tRNA
About the family: Transfer RNA (tRNA) molecules are approximately 80 nucleotides in length. Their secondary structure includes four short double-helical elements and three loops (D, anti-codon, and T loops).
Source: RNAcentral